Molecule: long non-coding RNA, 3378 nt
Organism: Ictalurus furcatus (blue catfish)
Lineage: Eukaryota; Metazoa; Chordata; Actinopteri; Siluriformes; Ictaluridae
Exons: 5
Source: RefSeq, a predicted model, not a curated record
CUUAUUGACUACAGUUUUCAUUCAGAUGGCAUCUAUUUAGGAUAUAGGCCUUAAACUAUGUCUAGAUGACUUAUUUUUAUCAGUAAAAUUGUAGAAGACAGAGAAAUCCCAUUACCUGCAGGCGAGGGUGUAGAUUUGCAUAUGGAAGGUAGGGACAUGUCCCUAGCAAUAUUUUGGGAGGGCAGAAUUGUGAUCAUGAUCAUAGUCAGGUAAAUUCCAUAGCAUACUCUCCCAGAAGCUCCAGGAUUUAGGCAUGCUAGCAUUUGAUUGGCUGAAAGGGAGGGCCUAUCUGAAGGCUCACCUUGCGUGCAAAUAUCGAGCUGCCAGUGUAGAGUACAGACACGGAGGCAAGGGCUGAUCAGCUGACAAUGAUAUCAUGCCACCAAAAAAACGACGAGACAUCAGGAGCUUUUUCCCCACCCAAAGCGAAACGCAGCAACAGGCUGAAGUAGAGCAGGAUGAAACAGCUGUGUCUUCAGGGUUUCAGAAAACUCAUAAAUCAAGUAGGCCUAAACAUGCCGUAGGGCAGGUUGAGGGAGAAUCAGCUGGACCUUCAGGGCUUCAGGAGACAGUCAGUGUGAGUGAGGAUGAUCCUGAAGCAAGUCAGUGUAGCAGUGUCAUGGACAUGGGGAGUAAGCCAUACCAGCCUGAUCCAAAAUUCAUCGAAGUACAGCAACUUCCAAACAAGAUUUUGCGGUUUCAGGCGAAUGGUAGUCAGUAUUCAUGGCUUCGCUUCAGUCCAACACUGAAAAAGGUUCUUUGUUUUGAGUGUGUCAAAGCAUACACCAUAAAAAAGACCACUUUGGAAAAAAGAAUGACCCUGCCUUCUGCAGAAAGGGUUUCAAUAAUUGGAAGAAUGCCACAGGUAGCUUUAGUCGACACCAAGCCAGCAAAGCACACCACCAUGCAGUUACAAUAAAUGCCCUGGAGCAAACUCCAGUUCACACACAAAUAUUAAGUGCAUGGGCUAAAACACAGGAAGAGGUGAGGCACUGUCUGGACAAAAUAAUGGGUGCCAUAAGGUAUCUUGCUAGGCAGGGAGUAGCAUUUCGAGGGCAUGAAGCAAAUGAAGGGAAUUUGUAUCACCUUGAGAAGUUACUUGCAAAUGAUGACCCUGUUCUUUCCUCAUGGCUCACCUGUUGCCAUGAUUGUCAGUCCACAGUGCCAAAAUGAAUACUUAACCUUGCUUGGUAACACAAUUGUCAGAGGCAUUGCAGCAACAAUCAGGUCCUUACCAGUGGUUCAGUUUUCUGUUAUAAUGGAUGGCACUCAGGAUAUACUGGGAAAAGAGCAAAUUUUCAUGUGUUUUAGAUAUGUGGACCAAGACCUGGUGCCACAGGAAGUCUUUGUGGGAUUGUAUGAGAUGCCAAGGAGAACUGGUGAGCAGAUAGCCAAACUAGCCAUUGAUGUGCUCCUGAGAUUGAAUAUUCCAAUUUCAGGUUUAUGAGGUCAGACAUAUGAUGUCUGCUCGGGGCCACAGGCAGUGUUGAAAAGGGAACAGAUAAAAGGGAAUAUCAGAGGGGCAUACCAAAACCGUGAAACCUCUGUGUCCGACUAGGUGGACAGUGCGUGGACAAGCUGUUGAUACAGUUCUUAGUCAGUAUGAGGCUGUGUUGUCCAGUUUGGAGGAAAUGGCCUCAGUUGGUUCCGACUCUGGGACAAAGGCCAAUGGUCUCCUAGAUCACUUCCAGAAGGGCAAGACUGUUCUUGGACUUGGAGGUAUUGGGAGAGCUUGAGUGCCUAAACAAGUCAUUGCAAAAGCAGUCCCAAACAAUUGAGGGCAUGCAGGCUGCUGUUGAGUAUGUUAGCUCAACUCCUCAAAAAAAAGAGGAAUGAGGAAAAGUUUGAAGAAGUGUUUCAGAAGGCAGUGUCCAUGACAUACUCCCUGGGUAUUGAGCCAGUUCAAAUCUCUCACCAAAGAAAUCCCCCCCCCCAAAAGAUUCACUGGUAGGGCUAGUCAGCAUAAGCCAACAACACCAGAGGAAUACUAUAAGAUAGAAUUUUUCAAGGUGCUGGACAGUUUGGAUGUUCAAAGAACGGUUUAACCAACCAGACUUGCAGAUCUUGAAAAAAGUUUGAGAAUGUUCUCCUUACUGGGCAAAUUGAUGAUGUCAUUGGACAGUAUCCAGAGAUAAACAGAGAUAGUUUGAAGGUUCAGCUGCCAAUGUUUCUCUCAAAGAAUACCUACAUGUCAAGUAGUGAAGCUGCAGAUACCCUAAGAGGAAUGCCAAGAGAGGUAAGAGGCUUAUUCGAUAAGGUUGAGAAGCUUAUUAGGUUGUUGUUAGUCGUCCCUGUGGCCUCAGCUGAAGCAGAACGACGCUUUAGUGCACUCAAAAGACUGAAAACUUGGCUAAGAUCUACCAUGUCUCAGCAGUGCCUUAAUAAUAUAGCUGUAUGUCAUGUACAUCAAGAGGCCCUUGACCAAGUAGAUCUUAAAGAUAUUUGCCAACAGUUUAUAUCCGUCAAUGACCGACGUCGGCAUCUGUUUGGAUUGUUUAAAUAGACACCAAGGACCAUCAUGAAGAAUGUUGAUGUUGGAUGCAAAACAUUUUUUGUUUUUUUUCUCUUUUCUGUUAACAAGUAAUUCCAUAGUUACUUUCUUUUAGUCUUUGAUCUGUUGCUUUGUAUAAUUUGUAUUUAAAUGUAAAUACAGAUCUUAAUAUAAAUAUAGAUGUUAUAUUUUAAUAAACCAGUUGGUUGUCAACAUUAAACAGUUCUUUGUGUUUUUUUUUGGGUUUUUUUUCCCCCCGGGGUGGGUGUCCCUACCAAUAUUGAGACCAAACCUACGCCCAUGCCUGUAGGGCUCCAGCACCGUUUCCAACUUUGCCAGCUUGUCAUAUUCAGCUUAACAUAUUGAAGUUGUGCUUCUGCUGUGCCAGCGUUGCUUUCAGUGGAUCUUUGUUGUGUUGAAUCCGCCUUAUCAUUUCAAGAGUUGAAUUCCAGCACGUUGAUACAUCCUGGACGAGGGACUCCUCUAUUAGUCCAUGAGAGGCUUGCUGAGCUUUCAGCUCUACGGUGUUUGCGGGACGGUGUCUGAAGUGUCCUACUAUUUUACGGCACUUGGCUUAAACGCUGUCAAAUCCGCUGUCCCGUAAAGCCACGGUGAUCACCCUUUUGUAUCAUAUGCGCUACACGGCACAUGCUCGAAUGGUAGACUCCUUGCAGCGGCAAUCAUAUUGCGAGCGCUGUCUGUUCCUAAAGUUGUGACCUUGCCCGUUAUCUCCCACUCAUUUGCAACUUUGAGAAACUGGCUAGUGCAUGCUUCGGCAAAAUGCCUUUCUUCUGUAUUUAACAUGCCUAAAGUGAAUGAGUGCAGCUGCCAGUUGUCAUCGAUUAUGUGUGCUGUUACACCGAGGUAGUUAUGGUUACUUACUGAUG